RNAcentral lists this long non-coding RNA (279 nucleotides) under Brassica napus (rape). Its description in RNAcentral is "long non-coding RNA (BNAP_LNC026963)". The record is from RNAcentral. Lineage: Eukaryota; Viridiplantae; Streptophyta; Magnoliopsida; Brassicales; Brassicaceae.
AAAGACAACCAUAGAAAAUAUAACGAAGAGUCCAAGUUCAUCAUGUCCAAGCACAAAACCUGGAACUUGUGCCUUCUCUUUCCAAGCUUCAAGACCAAACAUCUGAUGGGAAGGAAACAUGCCAACUUUCAAUCGAUACAGAGAAAGUCCAAGGGCUGCUUUAACAUUAAAUACCUCACACAUUGGAAACUAAUUGGGGAUGUCACUAACAUCAUGCCCGAGAUAUUUUCUGUCCAAAUCGAUAUGGACUAAUAUGGUCACGCCCAAAUCUGCCCGAGA